This is a long non-coding RNA of Armigeres subalbatus, 793 nucleotides long. RefSeq lists it as uncharacterized. NCBI's taxonomy places the organism in Eukaryota, Metazoa, Arthropoda, Insecta, Diptera, Culicidae. The transcript is spliced from 2 exons. The record is from RefSeq and is a predicted model, not a curated record.
UUGCGAAAACCCAUCGAUGGGUAAAAAAACACCCAUUUUCAAAUAGCAUUCCUGUCUGUCAUAAAAUGGGGGAAUUUCUCAAUCAUGCAAAGGGUAAAAAAAUACCCAUCAAAAGGAACCCUAAUACAUCAAAAAAGGGGUAAAAAUAUAACCAUUAAUGGGUGAAAAAAUAGUUUAAAAACAAAGCGCAUCGUGGUGGAAGUAUGGCUUCUUUCAGUUCUUAAAUAAUAAAAAAUAAUAAAUAAUAUAACUAAUAGGAACAGUUUAUAAUAUUGGAACUAUUCGACACUAUCGGAACGACACAAGUAAGGUAAUUGUAUACAAUUAAUUGUUGUACAACAGUAAUUUAAUGCGGAAAAAAUGCUUUCAGGUCCGGAUCGUCGAUUUUAAAACUAGUUUUGUGUUCAUGGAAAACGUAGGAGCUCCGAAAGAAGCUCCGAAACGUACACGAACGUCAUACAAAAAGCUGAAGGCAAAGCUUCUCAGUCGGGGACCGACUUCUUCUUAUUAUGAGUCUAACACGAUGAUACUUUUAUGCACAAGGAAGUCGAGACAAUGUCCAAUCCAAAAAUUGUCUAGACCGGCACCGGGAAUCGAACCCAGCCACCCUCGGAAUGGUCUUGCUUUGUAGCCGCGCGUCUUACCGCACGGCUAAGGAGGGCUCCUGACCGACUUACGGUGUGGUAUAUGGCUAGGCCGAAACGAAAAUGCACGUGUGACGGGAAUGCUGAACGUAUAUUGACAACGAGAUCAACAAUUACGUUAAUAAAAAUAUAUAACAUUAUCUUUUUAA